RNAcentral lists this long non-coding RNA (2470 nucleotides) under Citrus sinensis (sweet orange). RNAcentral describes it as "long non-coding RNA (CSIN_LNC000478)". The record is from RNAcentral. Lineage: Eukaryota; Viridiplantae; Streptophyta; Magnoliopsida; Sapindales; Rutaceae.
UUGGCUGAGAAAAAAAUUCCAUCUCAGUAUUUUCUUCUGCAAGUUCUACAGGAUCUUUCUGGAACUCUUGAAAUGUGAUUCUUUCACAUUCCUUAUGAAACAUAUGAUCACGCUGUUUGGCAAGAUUCUUCAAAGGGGAAGAGUGAAGGUGAGUAGAAGACUGGUGACUUUGGAACCUGCUACUUUCUAAUGGCAGCUCAGCAUCCUCUAACAUAUCCACAUCAAAAGAAUCUAGCAACAAAAAGAAAACUUAAUAUGUCAGCACAGAGGAAUAAAAAAAAGUUUUUCUGGAGAAAUCAAUGGAAAAAUUAACUAAUGAAAAAGUUAUUCCUCUAGCAUCCACAAGAUAUUAUGCCGCAUUAAAUGAAAUAAUUCUAAUAUAAAGGGGAUGAAGAACUUGACACAGAUAGAUUUUUGACGUACAAAAGUAUGAAAGGUACCUCCAGCAGAUAUGAUGUUGUUAUGUUUAUUCAACAUUUCAUCUUUUCCAAAUUUAUUGGCUGUGCAACUCAUGGAUACUCCUGGAAAUUUCAGUCAUUAAGAAUCACUUCUUGACCCAUUAUAUGAAUGCAACAACCAUAGCAAGCAAUUUUCAUGAGAGUGAGUAUACCAUGCGCUAUUUUUUUCAUCCAUGCAGAACGGAUAGCCCGCUCAAUGAAGGCAAGUACAGGUUCCCAGUCCUGGAACAAGAGCGAACAGACAGAGCUCAAUAGCCCCAAAAAAGCUAAAUAAAUAAACCACUUGAGGAUGUUAAUAAAUAUACAUAAUUAGGUCACAAUUCAUGAUCAGACAUGAAAUUCAUUACCUUGAAUACAACAUGUGUCUUUAAUGGGUCAAAGGUCAAAUCAUAGAGAGAAUGUGGGCAACGUAAAUUUAACAGGUAAGCUGGACAUGCUUGAGACUUACUUCUCUUUCCUUUAAGGAAUCCAUUAUUGGCCUUCCAUGAAUCCGAACAAUCAAAACUAGCAGCCAAAUGAUUCAACAACUUGUGGAUGGACCCUUUGCAUACAUACCUUGAAUUAAUAUCUGACAUUAUGAAGGUCUACAAAAAACCCGCUUCCGCUUCCGUUUGUACUUGAAGCACCCAGUCGAUGAUUCACAUCUUUCCUCGCCGCCAGAAAACAGAGCCCCACCAAGUGGCGGGCUUCCUUGUGAAAAGCAGCUUUGAUGAAGAGGCUUUUUGAUGUCCUUGCUAACCUCAAAUUCAUUGCUAAAUUCAUCCUUAUCUAAAGGUGAUGCGGUACCUGACGCUCCAUUGCUCACACCAGGUUCAAUUUGAAGGUAUUCAUACCCCCGUUGUGAAUUCAAAAGGUCACCCUCCACUGGAAUGCUGGAUCUUCCAUCAGCCAAAAAGCAAGUCUCCAAGAAAUAACUUCCUUUUAAUGAAAAUCUGUUACCAGAUGUCCAUCCAUGGAGGUCAAUCUUCCGGAGUACUGGGGAUAAGCAUUCAGCAAACGGACAAUCCAACAAUUUAGAUGAGUAUUUGGGCUGAGAAACAAGUUCCCUCUUAGAAUUUUCCUCUUCAAGUUCUGGAGUAUGUUUCUCAAACUCUCCAAAUAUGAUUCUUUCACAUUCCUCACGAAACAAAUGAUCACCCUCUUUGGAAAGAUUCUCCAAAGGAGAAGAGUAAAGGUGAGGAGAAGACUGAUGAUAUUGGAACCUGCUACUUUCUAUUGUCCAAGCAUGGCGGUCAAUCUUCCAGGGCACUAUGGGCAAGCAUUUGGCAAAUGAACCAUCCGACAACCCAAAAGAAUAUUUUGGCUGAGGAACAUACUCCAUUUCAGUAUUUUCCUCUUGAAGCUCUGCCGGAUCUUUCUCAGCAUCUCCAAAUGUGAUUCUUUCACAUUCCUUACGAAACAAAUGAUCUCCCUCUUUUUUAAGAUUCUCCAAAGGGGGAGAGAAAAGGUGGCGAGAAGGCUGAUGAUCUUGGAACCAGCUACUUUCUAUUGUCCACACUCGGUGGUCAAUCUUCGGGGGCACUAUGGGUAAGCAUUCAGCAAAUGAACCAUCCAACAAACUGGAAGAGUGUUUUGGCUGAGAAAAAAAUUCCAUCUCAGUAUUUUCUUCUGCAAGUUCUACAGGAUCUUUCUGGAACUCUUGAAAUGUGAUUCUUUCACAUUCCUUAUGAAACAUAUGAUCACGCUGUUUGGCAAGAUUCUUCAAAGGGGAAGAGUGAAGGUGAGUAGAAGACUGGUGACUUUGGAACCUGCUACUUUCUAAUGGCAGCUCAGCAUCCUCUAACAUAUCCACAUCAAAAGAAUCUAGCAACAAAAAGAAAACUUAAUAUGUCAGCACAGAGGAAUAAAAAAAAGUUUUUCUGGAGAAAUCAAUGGAAAAAUUAACUAAUGAAAAAGUUAUUCCUCUAGCAUCCACAAGAUAUUAUGCCGCAUUAAAUGAAAUAAUUCUAAUAUAAAGGGGAUGAAGAACUUGACACAGAUAGAUUUUUGACGUACAAAAGUAUGAAAGGUAC